GGGGUUGUGGCUCAGAGGCAGAGCGCUUGCCUGGCAUGCAUGAGGCACUGGGUUUGAUCCUCAGCACCA
RNAcentral lists this transfer RNA (69 nucleotides) under Urocitellus parryii (Arctic ground squirrel). Its description in RNAcentral is "Spermophilus parryii (Arctic ground squirrel) tRNA". It matches the Rfam family "tRNA". From Rfam's summary of the family: Transfer RNA (tRNA) molecules are approximately 80 nucleotides in length. Their secondary structure includes four short double-helical elements and three loops (D, anti-codon, and T loops). Further hydrogen bonds mediate the characteristic L-shaped molecular structure. tRNAs have two regions of fundamental functional importance: the anti-codon, which is responsible for specific mRNA codon recognition, and the 3' end, to which the tRNAs corresponding amino acid is attached (by aminoacyl-tRNA synthetases). tRNAs cope with the degeneracy of the genetic code in two manners: having more than one tRNA (with a specific anti-codon) for a particular amino acid; and 'wobble' base-pairing, i.e. permitting non-standard base-pairing at the 3rd anti-codon position. Lineage: Eukaryota; Metazoa; Chordata; Mammalia; Rodentia; Sciuridae. The record is from Rfam by way of RNAcentral. RNAcentral also lists the same sequence under 1 other name.